RNAcentral lists this ribosomal RNA (252 nucleotides) under uncultured bacterium. RNAcentral describes it as "partial 16S ribosomal RNA". It matches the Rfam family "Bacterial small subunit ribosomal RNA", at positions 524 to 776 of the family's 1533-position model. The record is from RNAcentral.
UACAGAGGGGGCAAGCGUUGUCCGGAAUUAUUGGGCGUAAAGAGCGCGUAGGCGGUCCGAUAAGUCGGCUGUGAAAGUCAGGGGCUCAACCCUUGGAAGCCGGCCGAUACUGUCGGACUAGAGUCCGGAAGAGGCGAGUGGAAUUCCCGGUGUAGCGGUGAAAUGCGCAGAUAUCGGGAGGAACACCAAUGGCGAAGGCAGCUCGCUGGGACGGUACUGACGCUGAGGCGCGAAGCGUGGGGAGCAAACAGG